GGAGGCCCCAGAUAUCUACAAUCCCUUCUCAGUACCAACAAUGGGUUGAUUCUCUUUUUACAAUAAAAAAGCUGAGUAAUAUUGCAUAGAGUACCAAAAACUGCCUCAUUGGAAACAAGAACUAUUUACAUUAAAUAAAAACCCAGUUGCAGUCUGCGUCUGCACAUGUACAGCCUGGUGAAGCACACUGGGACCAACCAUGGAGACAGCUUCUGUCACUCACACCACAGGGGCACGUCUGCCACGUGAGAGGAAAGCAAUGGAGGAGGAGGGAGUGGGGGGGUAGAGGAGUGCAGCUCACUUCUGGUUCCGGAGCUGAUUGGACAGCCAGUCCAGUCCCUUGUAGAGCCCAUCCCCACUGGUGGUGCAGGUGGCCUGAAUGUACCAGUUCCUGUGGCGCAGAGAGUGCACGCCCAGCUUGUCUGUGAUCUCAGCUGUGUUCAUGGCGUUGGGGAGGUCCUGCUUGUUCGCGAACACGAGCAGGACAGCAUCCCUGAGCUCGUCCUCCGCCAGCAUCCGCAUGAGCUCCUCCCGGGCCUCACUCACACGCUCUCAGUCAUUGCUGUCCACCACAAAGAUGAGACCUUGUGUGUUCUGGAAGUAGUGGCGCCACAGAGGCCAGAUCUUGUCCUGGCCGCCCACGUCCCACACGGUGAAGCUGAUGUCCUUGUACUCCACUGUCUCGACAUUGAAGCCUAUGGUGGGGACGGUGGUCAGGAUUUCACCCAGCUUCAGUUUGUACAGGAUGGUGGUCUUCCCGCAGCGUCCAGGCCCACCAUGAGGAUGCGCGCUUCUUUUUUGCCAAAAAGACCCUUGAAGAGGUUCGCAAAGAUAUUCCCCAUGCUGUCGACUGCAGGGAGUGACACUGGCCGGAGAAACCCUCAGCGGCCGCAGCACAGCUGCUGCUCUGAGCCAGGCGUUGGUUUUGCUCCUACAAGAUGGCGGCUCAAUGUUUUAUUUGUUUAAUUGCUGGAUUUAAUAUGCUAAAUUUACUUAGGGUUUUUGCAUUUAUG
RNAcentral lists this long non-coding RNA (1013 nucleotides) under Rhinolophus ferrumequinum (greater horseshoe bat). RNAcentral describes it as "lncRNA (ENSRFEG00010009425.1)". Lineage: Eukaryota; Metazoa; Chordata; Mammalia; Chiroptera; Rhinolophidae. The record is from RNAcentral.